GAUGAACGCUGGCGGCGUGCUUAACACAUGCAAGUCGAACGAAGCAAUUAGAGUGCUUGCACUUUGAUUGACUGAGUGGCGGACGGGUGAGUAACGCGUGGGUAACCUGCCUCACACAGGGGGACAACAGCUGGAAACGGCUGCUAAUACCGCAUAAGCGCACAGUACCGCAUGGUACAGUGUGAAAAACUCCGGUGGUGUGAGAUGGACCCGCGUCUGAUUAGCUAGUUGGUAAGGUAACGGCUUACCAAGGCGACGAUCAGUAGCCGGCCUGAGAGGGUGAACGGCCACAUUGGGACUGAGACACGGCCCAAAAUCCUACGGGAGCAGCAGUGGGGAAUAUUGCACAAUGGGGGAAACCCUGAUGCAGCGACGCCGCGUGAACGAUGAAGUAUUUCGGAUGUAAAGUUCUAUCAGCAGGGAAGAUAAUGACGGUACCUGACUAAGAAGCACCGGCUAAAAUACGUG
This 468-nucleotide ribosomal RNA is filed under the name uncultured bacterium. RNAcentral describes it as "bacterial SSU rRNA". It matches the Rfam family "Bacterial small subunit ribosomal RNA", at positions 28 to 507 of the family's 1533-position model. The record is from RNAcentral.